UUUUCCGGGAAAUCCUUGGCCAGCAGAGCAUGGGGCCCCAGGCAAAGGCAGGCUCGGUGUCCCUUCCUGGUUGUUCAAGGCGUGUGUCUGUUCCUGUUCUCUGGGUUCACCUGGCAGAGAGGAGGUGUUCGGACAGAUCUCGCCCACCAGCAGGAGGGGGAGGGCACCUAGGAGUAUGUCCGAGAAUCGCUUCUGGUCCUGGUGUGGCCGCUGGUCGCUGGUGCCAAUCACGGGAAGACUGAAGGUCUCAGGUCCACAGAGCUGCUCCAGGUUGCUCACGUCUUACACUGGCACCCACGCUCUGCUCACUGUUUCCUGAAUCACCGGCCCUUGGGAGAGCUCAGGGCUUACUUCAGCCCACAAGACGUAGAUGGAUGAAAUCUUCCCAUCUUGCCUGGGCUUCUUCCUCUGAGGCUGAAGACGGCCUGGUCCGGCCUGGGGAAGAAGUGGGCCGAGCACAGAGGAAGGCCAGGCCCACGCCCGGAAGAAGCGAUUGGAGUUUCCUCAGAAGACUGCGGUAGUUUUAAGGCGUAGACCUUGGAGCCAAACCACAUGGGUUCAAAUGCCACAUCUGCCACACGCUAACUUUGUGACUUCGGCAAGUUACUUCAUGUUUCUGUGCCUCAGUUUCCCCAUUGUACCUCAUACAGUUAUGAAGAUUUAGUGAGUUGAAUGCCUCACGUGCUUUAAACAGAGGCUGGCACAUUGUGAGCACUACAGGAGGUAAGUCAGAGCUCCCCUCAGUGUGUAAGUUCAUUACAUGGAAGAUGAGAUUUUAACCCCAAUAAGAUCAUCAAAUUUAAUUAACUCAGCUUUAAGGUUCAAGGCCAAAGGUUGUGCUUAACUGUCCCUCUCUUCCCUUAUACUGCUUAUUGAUCUUCCCUGGGAUCCAAAUCAACACUCAGUCAAAGCAACAGCCCAGCCUUGGCCCCAGCUCUGAAUGCAGAGAGUGAAUCCUAUGGCCCAGGGCGCUAGGCCAAGCUCUCUCCCAAGGGCUUGUACAUCCAGGGAGAAUUCCCUGCCUUCAGCGGCCUUGGAGGAACCACUGGGCAGCUAGCUGUCCCUCACAAACCCAGAAGAGUUGGCAGCCUUUAUCCUGCUGCUUCAUAUUAAAAUGCCUAUAUUCUCAGGCAUGACUUAGAAGUUGCCCAAUAGCCACACUAACAUUAGUUGCCUCUUUGUUGAAUGUGCUUACUGACAUAUGGCCUCUUUGGUGUCUGAGACCUUAGAGGAAAUGAGGGUAUAAAAGUGGAAGACAGAUAAAUAGUACCAUUGAACUUUACCAUGAAAAACUGUACCAUUUUCUCAGUGUCCCAUGUCUGCAUGUCACAGUGAUCAGCUAGAGAUUUGGGUCCAAAACUGAAAACACCUGUUCCUGAUAAACCUUGAUUCCCGCCCUGUGCCCCCUGUUCCCUCCACAAUGGGAGCCAGAGCUCUCCCUGCUGGCUUGCAUCCAUGACAGCGAGUUUGCAUGAAGCCAGGGCAUUUAUCUUUGGAAAACAGCGUGUAAAACUAGAGUGUGUCAACAUGAUGGAGUACUAUGUUGCCAUAAAAAAUGAUAAGCAUGUGCAUUGUGUCAAUAUAUGGAAAUGAGUAUGUGAAAUAAUGUUAAAUGGAAACAAGCAGAACACCCAGUAGUUUGCACACAAAUUACAAUGCCAUCAAUAAUCAUGUCUGCAUGCUCUUAAGCAAGGACUGCAAGCCAAGUUGGCGUAGUGUAAGCAGAGGAUUAUUUGCUGGACUCUUCUUUAUGCCCAUAGAAUCUUACAUAGUCUGUUUUUUGUAAUGAGUAGUAGAACAGGACAUGUGCGCUUAGACCAAAGAGAAGCAUUUAGCUGCUGAUACAAUUUCUUGGACAAGAAAGGACAAUUGCAGUGCUUAAAAAUAUGCCUCAAAGGGAGCAGCAAGUCUGCAAACCUACAGGCGUAUGAACUAAGCAGCCCCUGCCCCCCCAGGCUGGCUGCAGCCAUAUUUGUCCAGAUGGACAGAGGACCAAGCCCAGGGACGGAGAAUAGAGUGGGGGCUUCAUAUAGAUAGUGCUGACUCUUCACUCAGUUCACGCUUUGAUUUAAAGGAGGGUGAUCACAUUACCCUGGUGUGCCUUAAUUGUGCCCAUUGCCCUAAUAAUUAUUAGUAAUAAUGAAAAUUAUCAAUAACAUCCCUCUUAUUUCAAAGGUAUCCCUGUUAGGACAUCAAGUGUAAGAUCAGCCUACUUAAAGAGGCCACACAGGCCCCAACUUGUUGUCUAGCACCUGAAACGCUUGUAUACAGCCCCUCUGUUUCUCACCUCACAAUGCCCAGGGAACCAGGUUACUGCUUCUGCCCUCCCUUUGCAAGGACAGCUAGCCCUGGGUAGGAAUCGGGAUUACUGACGGCGCUGAGCUGGAGCCAGCUGGUGCCCGCCCACGAGAGCCACUGUACACACCUUCCCAACUCCACGUUCAAUGAUGUCAUGUUAGUAGCUUGAAAUCUGCAUUGAUGGAAGUAUUUACACCGCGAAAAUCAGGAAAACUGGGCUUUUUUUUUGUUUUUUCCCCCCACGGAGCUGGUUGUAAAAUACUUAACAGCACAUCUUGGAUUGCUGGAGUCAGUGAAGCCAGAAUGUAAACCAACUCAUGGGGCUCUCUGAUCACACCAGUUUGCACUUAGCCCCCAGCCAAAGCUCACCGCCUCAUCCGCACAAAGUGCUGAAGGUAACCAGAGACCGUGGGAUGUGGUGGUCCUCCCUUGCAGGAGGAAGAAAUGGACAGGCAUCCCUUGUUAUUUUCCACACACAUUAGAAACUAAACGAGAAUGCAGACACCAGUCUAUGCAAUUGUCCUGGCAGAUGGCAGCUUGAUGCAGCCAGCUCAUCCACUGCCUGGCCGGGUGGUGCGCAUCCCGUUAAAGCAGAUGACUGGUGGGGUGCAGCGCUGAGUCUGAUCUGGAUGACAGCUUUUGAACCACAGCUCCUUUGUCAUACAAGUCACUGAAAACCCCUGCCCCAAGUGUGGUGUCACUAUGCACAGUGGCUUAUUCCUUGGCACCAACAAUGUCAUUAAUUUUCCCCUCCCUCCCUCUGCAGCUCCUCAGGAUAGUCCUUUGAGAAAGUCACAUUACAUGAUCACAUACAACUCGUGACUGUCACGUGCUAUUUAUUGGCAGCUCUCUUUCAUAACCAUGGCAAACAUAUGAUGAGAUUUUCCAAAGUUUAAGAGGUUUUUUUAGAGUAACUUACUGGCAUGUGAACCUUGAUUAGUGAAUCGGCUAAACCCAAAAGGCUUAAUGGAAGAAUCAAAGGUGAAGGAAAUUCUGAAAUUCUAGUCUGAUCAUGGAACCUAGGACAUUGAAGAGGAAAGAGUGGAAGGGACAAUCACGGAAGUGACUUUGCAGUAACUGCAUGCUUGGCUGUGUCGGCUUCGAGGAUGAAGGGUGUGCAUCGAUCAGACAUCUGGGCACAAAAUACUCUGCUAAGUGGCACAGAAAAAUUAAGACAUGUGUUCUCUGCCUUUAUAAACUAGUGGAAGAGACAGGAAGAAGGCCAAGGAAAUAAUGAGGUGCCAGUAAUUGGGAGAGAGAAGACAGACAAAAAUGGCAGUCUCUGACGCACCCAGUGGUGGAGGGAGGCUGCAUCUGCGCUUGCAGCUGGCCUGGGUUAAUCAGGGAUGUCUGCUGGGAGGGGCUUUUGAGCAGGGCCUGUAUGUGUAUUCCACUAGCAGGUAUUGGGGGGGUGGAUUAUAGCUUCGUGAUCUGAAAGUGGACCGGAAAUUAUGAAAUCCUAGAAAUGAGGAAAGACCUUAGCAUGUUUGUCUUCAUUUCAACUCUCUUUAUUCCAGAGCACUCCCUGACAACCUUUCAUAUCUUUUCUCAAUGACAAUUCCAUUACCCUGAUAGUUUCCUCAAAGUCUGAGUGAGUCUACAUCCUCUAUGGAAGAAUUAGAACAGGUGAUGGUAUAACCUCUGAAGGGACAGCCAGGCUCCUGCUCUGCUCUAGUUACUCGUUUACUUUCCAGUCCCUCCCACCAGCCUGUGAGGUCUGUGACCACUGCCCACUCAGUGCCAAGUGCAGUGGGGGUAAUGCAGCCUCAGCCUUUGCUGAACAGACAGGCUCUGCUCUGUGAUUGCAGGGGUCACCACCUUGUGCAUUAUUUCUAUCACAUGCAAAUCCUUAUACCUGUCUCAGGUAAACUCCAUUCUCGAAAAGACAUUUUUCUGCUCACAUCACCACCUUGCCAUCAGUUGGAGCAAAUGUUCUUUCUAGGUUUCUUCAGGCUCUAAGAAGGUAAAGUUUUUCAGUGAUUUAAAGAUCAGAUUGUAUUGAGCAAAACUUUUUGUUGAAAAAAAUAUGUAUAUUUGAAACAAACAUUAAUUUGUGCUUUGGUAAAGAGUUGGGUCCAAUAUAAUCUUAUGAUGCUGAGUGAAUAUAGUCUGUAAUAAGGGGGAAAAUGGGAGACCAGAGAGCAAUGAUCCCAGCUAUAGGUGAUGACAUUGAUUUUUAUGUUACUUAGAUUUCUAUACCCAAGGCAGUCAACUUUAAAUUAUACAAGCAUCUGAGGAAAAGUCUGUACAUGUUUGUAUAAGAUUUUAGUUCUAUAAGCAGAGAGUCAAAGACAGUGACCUGAGAUAGUGCUCUACAGACACGUGUCCCUGUCCUUGGGCACAGUGGGACUGAAGUCGUUCUUUCUGUAGAUCUCGGUGGUAUAGAUGGUGCCCUUGGUGCCUUCACAGAAACCCCUUAAAUGUCUGCUUGUGUUUCAGAAUAGCAGUUAGAUCACAUGCCAAUGCAUGGUCUUCUCAUGAUCUCAGGACAGAGCGAUCACCUGUCCCUGCUUUCCAGGUGUGACAAAAUGGGGUGUUUGAUUCUAACCUGUCACUCGUAGGCAGAUGACAACUCUUAAAAGAGUUGAACUCUCAUGUAUAUGUUUUCAUCUUGAGAUGCUUUUUAUGAGUUUCAAUAAUGUGAACAGGUGGAGUUGUCUAAAACUCAGCUUUAUUUUUUCAUUUGUUCUGAUAAGUAAUUGACCAAUUUUCUUGACUCAUGGUUCAUUAAUCUCUAUUGUCAGCUCUGGGGAUAAUUCUCUUUAGAAAUUUUCUGAGCUUCUCACUAGGAUGUGUGUUGUGGGCCACAAGUAGUAUUUAACAAUCCCUUCAUUCCUCUGUGUCUGGGUUGAUAUGAGAGAUUAAAAAUUGGGACUUAAGUGAUGCCCAAUCCCAAAUAACUGUAAAGGUAGAGCUAAUUUCUGGAGCAUGACAAUCUGUUAAAGGGGUAGAAAGUAAAAUCACAGUGUGUCUCAGAUUUAAUUAAAUGGGUGAGUAGUCAUUUGGGGACAGCCAUAAGUUAGAAGUCUGCGUCUCUUUGGGAUAUUGGUGUUUUUUUCUUUUUCUCCCCAAAAGUUUAUCCCAAUUUAUUGUCUCAAUGAAAUAUAAAAGCCAAAAUCUCAGUGGACCUUUUAAAUUUCUACUCCAGUCAAAGCAUUCCACUUAUCAGAUUGUACCCCAAUUCCUAAGAAAGUAUAUUAGAGAUUUUUUGUCUUGGACAAAAUUCUUCACAAAGUCAUAGAGCUAGUGGGAAUGUCAGAGAUCAUAUACUUCAAUGUCCCCAUUUCACAGAUGAGAAAACCAGAAUUUAGAGAGAUCAAGUGAUCUGACCAAGGUCACUCAGCACAUUAGUGGCAGAGUGAGGGCAAGACCCAUUCUGUGCUCUGUCCAUCACACUACACUCUCUGUCUGGUAUACAGACCACCUUGCUCCUGCUGGCUCUUAUUUAUUACCCUUUCUCAUACUUAUCCUACCACU
This is a long non-coding RNA of Artibeus jamaicensis (Jamaican fruit-eating bat), 5775 nucleotides long. RefSeq lists it as uncharacterized. The transcript has 3 exons. The record is from RefSeq and is a predicted model, not a curated record. Lineage: Eukaryota; Metazoa; Chordata; Mammalia; Chiroptera; Phyllostomidae.